RNAcentral lists this ribosomal RNA (399 nucleotides) under uncultured bacterium. RNAcentral's name for it is "bacterial SSU rRNA". It matches the Rfam family "Archaeal small subunit ribosomal RNA", at positions 339 to 738 of the family's 1478-position model. The record is from RNAcentral.
GCGCGAAAACUUUACAAUGCGGGAAACCGCGAUAAGGGGACACCGAGUGCCAGCAUCCUAUGUUGGCUGUCCAUAUGUAUAAAUCACAUGUGUUAGCAAGGGCCGGGCAAGACCGGUGCCAGCCGCCGCGGUAACACCGGCGGCCCGAGUGGUGGCCACUAUUAUUGGGUCUAAAGGGUCCGUAGCCGGUUUGGUCAGUCUUCCGGGAAAUCUGACGGCUCAACCGUUAGGCUUUCGGGGGAUACUACCAGGCUUGGGACCGGGAGAGGUAAGAGGUACUACGGGGGUAGGAGUGAAAUCUUGUAAUCCCUGUGGGACCACCAGUGGCGAAGGCGUCUUACCAGAACGGGUCCGACGGUGAGGGACGAAAGCUGGGGGCACGAACCGGAUUAGAAACCC